UGGGGAAUAUUAGAAAUGGACGAAAGUCUGAUCUAGCAACACCGCGUGUGCGAAGAAGGCCUUCGGGUUGUAAAGCACUUUUUGGAAGGAUUAGGAAGGAAUGUACUUCCAGAAUAAGUCUCGGCUAACUACGUGCCAGCAGCCGCGGUAAUACGUAGGUGGCAAGCGUUGUCCGGAAUUACUGGGCGUAAAGCGCGUGUAGGUGGUUCUGUAAGUAGGGCGUGAAAGCUCCUGGCUCAACUGGGAGAGGCCGUUCUAAACUGCAGAGCUAGAGGAUGGUAGAGGGAGGUGGAAUUCCGGGUGUAGCGGUGGAAUGCGCAGAUAUCCGGAGGAACACCAGUGGCGAAAGCGGCCUCCUGGACCACUCCUGACACCCAGACGCGAAAGCUAGGGUAGCAAACG
RNAcentral lists this ribosomal RNA (402 nucleotides) under uncultured prokaryote. RNAcentral describes it as "bacterial SSU rRNA". It matches the Rfam family "Bacterial small subunit ribosomal RNA", at positions 355 to 774 of the family's 1533-position model. The record is from RNAcentral.